Molecule: non-coding RNA, 846 nt
Organism: Punica granatum (pomegranate)
Lineage: Eukaryota; Viridiplantae; Streptophyta; Magnoliopsida; Myrtales; Lythraceae
Source: RefSeq, a predicted model, not a curated record
UCCAAACUUCCACUAGUUUUGCAAGGUCAUAGCGCCAUCAUAUUAAAGUUGAUUAUAUGAUCUGUUAAGAUUUUUUAUUUAUUUUUUUAUAAGUCCAUUAAAUAAGUUAUAUUCAACAAAAUCCUUCAUCUUUUCUGAUUACAAAUGAGACCUGUAAAUCUAAUAUAAUUAUAAGGAAAUAGAAAUCUAAACAAAGAUGUACAAAUAGUCCAAUUGAUGAUAAUCAAACUCGAAUUCUAUUGAUUCAUAGGCGAUGGCAUAUGUAACACACUGAGCCCCAUUUCACUAGAAUUCUUAAAUUUAAUUACAGGAUGGUCGAGUAAAUUAUUUAAACUGUAGUUGAUUAUAUUACUAUUUAAGGUAAAUUUUUAUGCGAAUCAAAUCUAUGAAUUUUUCAAAUGUAUUGCUCUAGUUAAAAGUGACUGAGUGUCUAGUAUUCUCUUAUAAAGAGCACUAGAGGGGAAAGAAAAAGCUCACGCGGCUGUAGCAGGUGAGGUUAGAAAAGUGCAAACAACCUAGGGCUCCAAGAAGCCGAAAUCACGCCAUUUAGCAAGCCUCAACGCCAUUCCUCGGCAAAUGCUCAAGAUCCUCAUAAGAGCCAAGCAUAGAGCAUAUUAGGCCAGUUCCUGAUAUUGAAGAACUACUUAAGAUCUUAAAUUAGCCAUGAACGAGAAAGCUUAGAAGAUCAUUGAGAGAGAAAUGUAUUGGAGAUGUUUCUUCUCUUGCCUUCGAUUGAUCCAUUAAAAUGGAGGAGCUACCUUUAUAUAGGCAAAGCUCAAAGGAACAAGACAAUUUGAUAUUUUCAAUUGGCAGACAAAUGUGGCUAACAUUUAUAGCCCGUUAUUA